Molecule: long non-coding RNA, 324 nt
Filed under: Elaeis guineensis (African oil palm)
Lineage: Eukaryota; Viridiplantae; Streptophyta; Magnoliopsida; Arecales; Arecaceae
Description: long non-coding RNA (EGUI_LNC029404)
Source: RNAcentral
GCCAAUUAGAUUAGUCUAAAUCUUAAAUAUGGUUUACUCAGUGUUUAUUACACUACUAAUGCCUUCCUUCAUGCUAAGAUAAUUAUUAUUUUAAGAACCAUAAUAAGUUUGUUGUACUAUCUACAAGACUUACAAUGGGGACUAAUAUGAUAAAAUCUUGGUGCAUUAAGAAUGCUUAUUGCAAUUUGAAUUAUUAUUGCUUUGUUGUGCUAUCCACAAGAGCAAUAUUAAUUUCAAAUAUGAUUGUAUGAAAAUGAAGAGUCUGACUUAACUAAAAUAUUAUAGUUUGUUGUGCUAUCCAUAAUACUAUAAAUAUUUUAGAGG